RNAcentral lists this ribosomal RNA (497 nucleotides) under uncultured bacterium. RNAcentral describes it as "partial 16S ribosomal RNA". It matches the Rfam family "Bacterial small subunit ribosomal RNA", at positions 28 to 507 of the family's 1533-position model. The record is from RNAcentral.
GACGAACGCUGGCGGCGUGCCUAAUACAUGCAAGUCGAGCGAAAAGAUGAGGAUCUUGCUCCGCUGUCGUUAGCGGAGGACGGGUGAGUAACACGUGGAUACCCUACCUAAAAGACUGGUAUAACUUCGGAAAACCGGAGCUAAUACGGUAUAAUAUAUUGAACCGCAGGGUUGAAUAGUGAAAUACGGCUUUGCUGUCACUUAUGGAUGGAUCCGCGCCUCUUUAGCGAGUUGGUAAGGUAACAGCUUACCACGGCAACGAUGCGUGUCCGAAGUAAGUGACUGAUAGCCCACCCGGGAACUGGGACGCGGUCCACACUCCUACGAGAGGCCGCAGUCGCGAACCUGCCGCAAGGGGCGAAAGCCUUACGGAGCAACCCCACGUGAGUUAUGAAGACCUUCGGAGCGUAAAACUCUUUUACUCGUUAAGAACAAAUUUGUAAGUAACCAAACACGGCGUGACGGUACCUGAUCAGAAAGCCCCGGCUAACUACGUG